GCCUGUUUAUCAAAAACAUGUCUUUUUGAAAAUAAUUUAAAGUUUAAUUUGCCCCCUGAUAAAAAAAAAUUAAAGGGCUGCAGUAUUUUGACUGUACAAAGGUAGCAUAAUCCUUAGUCUUUUAAUUGGUGGCUUGUAUGAAAGAUUGAAUGAGAUAUAAACUGUCUAAAAAAUAAUUAAUUGAAUUUAAUUUUUUAAUUAAAAAGUUAAAAUAUUUUAAAAAGACGAGAAGACCCUAUAGAGUUUUAUAUUAUUUAUUGAUUUAAAUUAUAUAUAAAAAUAAUAAAUUAUAAAUUAGAAAUAAUAUUUUAUUGGGGGGAUAAAAAAAUAAAAAAAACUUUUUUUAAUAUUAAACAUAAAUAAAUGGUUAUUUGAUCCAAUUUUAUUGAUUAAAAGAAAGAAUUACCUUAGGGAUAACAGCGUAAUUUUUUUUUUUAGUUUAUAUAAAAAAAAAAGUUUGCGACCUCGAUGUUGGAUUAAGAUAAAAUUUAA
This 492-nucleotide ribosomal RNA is filed under the name Eriogyna pyretorum pearsoni. Its description in RNAcentral is "partial 16S ribosomal RNA". The record is from RNAcentral. Lineage: Eukaryota; Metazoa; Arthropoda; Insecta; Lepidoptera; Saturniidae.